This 2059-nucleotide long non-coding RNA is filed under the name Homo sapiens (human). Its description in RNAcentral is "non-protein coding lnc-FAM20A-3:1". The record is from RNAcentral. Lineage: Eukaryota; Metazoa; Chordata; Mammalia; Primates; Hominidae.
AGAAGACCAACUACAAGAAAGUAGGAAAAAAGAAAAAUUCACUGUAUUUUUCAAAAAUAUUAUGUCCCUAUAACGUAGAUUCUGUUUAUCUCCUAACCAGAGUUUUCAUUCUUGGCUAUGGGUUGGGGGUCUGCGAACCAUGUGUCUUGCAUUUUGAGACGAAUCCAGUUGCGAUGUUGACAGGUGCAGACUAACUACUCUUUCCACAACAAGCACUCAGUAUUUUAGUGUUGCUAUAAAGAAAUACUUGAGGCUGGGUGGUUUAUAAAGAAAAGAAGUUUAUUUGGCUCACAGUUCUGCAGACUAUACAAGAAGUAUGGCACCAACAUCUGCUUCUGGUGAGGGCUUCAGGUUGCUUCCACUCAUGGCAGAAGGUGAAAAGGAGCCAGUGUGUACAGAGAUUACAUGGCCAUAGAGAGGAAGCAAAAGAGAGAGGGGAGGGAGAUGCCAGGCUCUUUUUUAACAACCAGCUCUCCCGGAAACUAAUAGAAUGAGAACAGUCUUCCUUACCCUCCCAGACAUUAAUAUAUUCAUGAAGGAUAUGCUCCCAUUACACAAACACCUCCCAUUAGGCCCCACUUCCAACAAUGGGGAUAAAAUUUCAACACAAGAUUUGGAGGGGUCAAACAUCCAAAUCAUAUCAAGGGGUAAUUAGAGUAUGAGGAUGGGGCCCUCAUAAAUGGGAUUAGUGCCCUUAUUAGGGGAUGAAAGGACCAAUGCUCACUCUUUCUUCAGUGUGUGAGGAUACAAUGAAAAAAGGGCUAUCUGCAAACCAGGAAGAGUGUCCCCAUCAGACACUGGAUCUGCCAGCACCUUGAUGUUGGAAUUACCAGUCUCCAGUACUGUGAAAAAUAAAUUUCUUUUAUUUAAGCCACCCAAUCUAUGGUAUAUUUGUUAUAGCAGCAGACUGACUAAGACAGUAUUCAUUAUUCUCAUGCAUGUUUUUAUAAUUUUACCAAUUUUUUGUUUGUUUCUUUUUCAGAGACAGGGUCUCCAGGCACUGGAGUGCAGUUGCAUGAUCAUAGCUCACUAUAACUUCAAACUCCUGGGCUCAAGAUAUCCUCCUGCCUCAACCUCCCAUGUAGCUAGGACUACAGAUGAACACCAUUGCACCUGACUAAUUUUUAAAAUUUUUUGUAGAGAGGGGUCCUAUUAUGUUGCCCAGGCUGGUCUCAAACUCCUGGCCUCAAGUGAUCCUCUCUCCUUGGCCUCCCAUAGUGCUGGAGUAAUAGGUGUAAGCCACUGUGCCUGGCCUAGUUUGCCAGUUUUGAAGGUUAUCUAAAUAGUAUCAUACUGCUACACACACACACACACACACACACCCCAUAUUCAUGUUUUCUUACAACUUAAAGAUGUAUCUUUGCUGAGAAAAUACAGUUGUACUUCCUUCAUUUUAACUGCUCAUUACAUAAUAAUACCACAAUUUAUUAACAUAUUUCCCUAUAGAUGGAUGUUUACUUUUUUGUGCAAUUAUUUGCUAUUAUGAGCCAGGCUACAGGCAAAAUUCUUUUGGAUGGAGGUAUGCAACCUUUGUUUUUUAUUUUAUUUUAUUUUGUUUUAACAUAAUUGAACAAUAGGGCCAAUAAAGUUGCCCUUUUUUUAAUGUACAGUUCUGUCAGUUUUAACACAUGGAUGGAUUCACAUGACCACCAUCAUGAUAAGGAUAUAGAAUAGUUCCAUCACCCAAAACAACUUCCUAAUGCUGUACCUUUGUAGUCAUACCUUCAUCACGGUCCCUAAUGCCUGGCAGCCAAUGAUCUAUUCUCUGUCACCAUAGCUUUUCCAUUUCUAGGCUAUCAUAUAAAUGUAAUCAUACAAUAUGUAACCUUUUGAGACUGGAUUCUAUCACUCAGCAUAAUGCCUUUGAGAUGCAUCAAUGCUGUCAUGUAUACCCAUAUUUUGUUCUUUGUUGUUUCUAAGUAGUAUUCCAUUGUAUGAUGUACAACAGUUUAUCUAUUUGCCCACUGAAGGACAUAUGCACUACUUAAUGUUGGCAAUUAUUAAUAAAGCUGCUAUAAAACUUUCAUAAGUAGGUUUUUAUGCACACAUAAGUUUUCAA